ACGGGUUAUAUAACCCCCGCUGUGUCUCGCCGUAGAACGAAGUAGUUAGGUGUGGGAGUAUCGACCCCUCCCGUGCGAGUACGCAAUAAGGCUACCGCUGGGAGUACGCCGCAAGGCGGAACCCCAAGGAAUUGACCGGGGCCCGCACAGCAGUGAGUAUGUGAUAAUUCGAGCAACGCGAGAACCUACCAGGUCUGACAUUGUACGCAUAGCAUAGAGAUAUGUGAAAUCCCUUCGGGGACUAUAGACAGGUGGUGCAUGGUUGUCGUCAGCUCGUGUCGUGAGAUGUUGGGUUAAGUCCCGCAACGAGCGCAACCCUUAUCUUCAGUAGCCAGCGGUCCGGCCGGGCACUCUGGAGAGACUGCCAGGGAUAACCUGGAGGAAGGUGGGGAUGACGUCAAAUCAUCAUGCCCCUUAUGAUCUGGGCUACACACGUGCUACAAUGGCGGAAACAAAGGGAAGCGAACCCGCGAGGGGAAGCGAAUCUCAUAAAAUACCGUCCCAGUUCGGACUGUAGUCUGCAACCCGACUACACGAAGCUGGAAUCGCUAGUAAUCGCGAAUCAGCAUGUCGCGGUGAAUACGUUCCCGGGUCUUGUACACACCGCCCGUCACACCAUGGGAGUUGGUAAUGCCCGAAGUCUGUGAGCUAACGCAAGAGGCAGCAGCCGAAGGCAGGACCGAUGAUUGGGGUGAAGUCGUAACAAGGUAGCCGUAUCGGAAGGUGCGGCUGGAUCACCUCCAGAAAAUCUAGAUUCAUC
Molecule: ribosomal RNA, 760 nt
Filed under: uncultured bacterium
Lineage: Bacteria
Description: bacterial SSU rRNA
Rfam family: Bacterial small subunit ribosomal RNA
Source: RNAcentral